UAUAAAUAUGAGUGUUACUCGGUCUCACCGCUCAUAUAUUUUUCUUGUUCGCAAGGUAAUCGAAGAUGAGAAUCAUCUGGAAAUUUUGGAGUAAUCUUGAGUAUAUUAGAGUUACUCCCAAGCAUAAGAGUAACCCAGAUGAAAGCUGUUGUUCUUUCGGAUUUUGCAAUGAAAAGUUUACUGAAGGUUAUGAGUUUCUGGAUGAUGACAAUAUCAUAAAAUAUCAAUUUAAUAACCAUCAUAUUGACUCCCUCGCAUAGGUCGUGCAUAGGAUCCAUUGAUGUAAUUUUGUCGUAAUUGAAAAAUGAAAGACUAUGCAGGCAGCACUCUUCCAUCACACCGCAUUCAGAAGGAAAUCAAAACCGGAACGACCAUUGCGUAAGUCCAGUCCUCCCGAUUUAUGUAACAAUCGCGGCAGAAUAGUUUCGACUGUGUGUAAUAGAUAAGUGCUGGAACGAGAAAACAUUAAACAAAAUAUUAUUCCAAUUAAAUUUA
Molecule: long non-coding RNA, 495 nt
Organism: Wyeomyia smithii (pitcher-plant mosquito)
Lineage: Eukaryota; Metazoa; Arthropoda; Insecta; Diptera; Culicidae
Exons: 3
Source: RefSeq, a predicted model, not a curated record